RNAcentral lists this ribosomal RNA (457 nucleotides) under Actinomyces naeslundii. Its description in RNAcentral is "bacterial SSU rRNA". It matches the Rfam family "Bacterial small subunit ribosomal RNA", at positions 28 to 462 of the family's 1533-position model. The record is from RNAcentral. Lineage: Bacteria; Bacillati; Actinomycetota; Actinomycetes; Actinomycetales; Actinomycetaceae.
GACGAACGCUGGCGGCGUGCUUAACACAUGCAAGUCGAACGGUGAAAGGGGCCUGCUUUUGUGGUCCUGGAUGAGUGGCGAACGGGUGAGUAACACGUGAGUAACCUGCCCCCUUCUUCUGGAUAACCGCAUGAAAGUGUGGCUAAUACGGGAUAUUCUGGGUCUGUCGCAUGGUGGGCCUGGGAAAGAUUGCGCCUUUUUUGGUGUUUUUGGUGGGGGAUGGGCUCGCGGCCUAUCAGCUUGUUGGUGGGGUGAUGGCCUACCAAGGCGGUGACGGGUAGCCCGGCCUGAGAGGGUGGACGGUCACACUGGACUGAGACACGGCCCAGACUCCUACGGGAGGCAGCAGUGGGGAAUAUUGCACAAUGGGCGCAAGCCUGAUGCAGCGACGCCGCGUGAGGGAUGGAGGGCUUCGGGUUGUGAACCUCUUUCGCCAGUGAAGCAUGGCCUGCCUCGU